CUCUAUCUAUUCGAGAGAGCCAAUUCCUGCCGCCGUCGCCACACCUGGACCUCAUCCCCAGCUCCACCAGCGUCAAUCACGCAGCUCAAGCACCGAUCUGGAGCUUUUUCUCACUAAUCCACUGUAGAGUGCACAAGCGACCCUAAAGAUACGCUGUUUUAGUCUUUAUCUUUUGUUUUUUCUGUCUUUGUCGGAUUCUCGCUUUCUCUCACUGAUAUGAGCCAUUCUCUGAUUUUGAGUUUUGCAUUCUUGGACAAUGUGUGUGUGUUUUACUUUCUUUACAAUAUUGUAGUGAAAUCAAUAGAUCCUGCAUUUGUUUCAAAAAAAUUUGCUUCCACUUCUACUUUUACUUUAUUUGACUUGAAGGGCAGCUUUUACUACCACUACUGGUUAUUUUUAAUUUUGAUGUGUUAAUAAAAUUAGUUAUCCCCAAAACUAAAGAAAAAUAUUCACUUAGCAGAUUUUCAUACGAAUAUAUUCGUUGCUAAGGAAACUAGGAAAUGUUAUAGUGCUAUGAUAAUGAUGAAUGUUAGAGUUCAUUUCACAUGCCCUAAAAAUUAUCUAAAAAUAAAAUGCUUCACCCAAAUUACUUUAUUUUUUUCCUUCCAUUUUUACAAAACAAAUCUUUAUACUACAAACCGUUUCACUAGCACUAUUCAUCUUCUCUUUUUCUUGCUCGAACCUCCAUUGCUGCCACUCUUGCACCUGCGAAACUUACAUUUUCAACAUCUCCUUCGUGGUCUCAGACCUACAUCCUUUCUUCUUCAAUCUGUAAGUAACUUAAUCCCUUUUUGCUUUCCGUUUGAAUAGUUUACAUGUACUAUAUGCGUUUUCCUACAACACUUUUUGAAAAUAGUUUUUAUCUGAAACGAGUAAGAACAACUUGAAUGAUACCCAUCACUACUAAUUUUGCAAGAAAACUGAACUGUGACGUCUUAGAUCUGAAAUCAUACUCCAACCGGACUAGGAAGUAGUUUGUAAUAGGUGCAAGCCUUAGCAAAACUGAACAACCGAGCUAAGAUUUCAUGAAUACUUGUUGUUUCAAGUAGGUCUAAGAACCUUUUGCUUUACUUAGCCGAGCUAGCGAAUUAGAUUAGGUUUGCACAAUGCCGCACUAGAAAGCCUCAACCAUCAAUCGAGCUAAAUCUUGGGGCUAAACCAGCUCCCUUAGUUCACACCGAACUAAGAUUGUUGCCCCAAUGGCUCGACCGGGCUAAAGCCCUUUGCUUAAACCGAGCUAAGAUCAUGUAAACCGAGCUAGGACUUCUUUAACCGAGCUAGGACUUCAUUUAUCUUGCCUAUAUUUCUUGUAGCACGGUCCCAUGAUCUGUGCUUAACACCGUUCUUUUUUACUUUGCAGACUCUGACUAGGUUGCCCAGUUACCCCUUUGCACGUCCAGCCAAGAUAUCCAUUAUCUUCUUGGCGCCGAGCUAAUACUCCAGGUUAACUUAUACAUAAUUUAAACCCUUUAUGGGGAAAUAUAGGUUUUUGGUGAACUCACCAGGUGCUAUGGCCAAGUUUCGAAGGGAUUACCAUAUCCCUGAUGAUGUUCAUCUCACUCUAGCCGAACUAGAUACCGUACCCUGGGGAAACCCUGGCUUUGUUCCCUUUACACUUCUUUCCAUUAUAGAAACCGGACUAAGAUUCCCUGUACAACCCCUCCUUUGCGAGUUCCUCAAACAAACCAAUCUCUGCCCAACCCAACUUUUCACAAAUUCAUACUGCAUAAUAAAUGGCAUCGUCGAGCUAAAUCGCUGGGCUGGCCUUAACCUCGGUUUAGCCGAGCUCUUUCUCCAAUACUCCAUAGGAUCAAAUGAAGAUGGGUGGGUUUACUAUUUAAGAAUAAGGCACCGUCGUGAAAAGAUAAUAAAAGAUACCCCGGAUAAGGAUGUUAAUGACGAUGAUUUUUUUUGAGUUUCUGGGAAUUUUGAAGAUCGUGAGGCCCAAAUCCCAGGCGACCGAAUAAACUAGGACAAAGGAGUUACCGAUUUGAACUUUCUCAAGUCCCAGUACAGUUAUCCCAACUUAAACACACUUCGCGCCGCGCUGCGAUAUCCCAAUAGAAGUUGGGUCGAGCUACUGGAAUUUGAACCGACGUAUAGACACAGUAGUAAACGGAAGACCAAGGUGACUGAUUUUGUUGGAAGCCUCUCCUGAACUGGACCCAUCCUUGCCUGAAAUCAACCUAAUCCGACUAAUUGCUAAACAAGAAAUGGCCAAGAAGAGAGCCGUAAGAGCCCUUUAGACCGAAACAAACCAGCUUGAGGUACCACCGACCGGCCAAACACAAGAGGCCGUGGUAGCCCUGCCAACCCAUCAGCCUUCAAUAUCUCGGGCAAGUAAGCGUGCUCGGAUUUCUACACCCGAGCCACGCCUUAUCGAUGAGGAUGAAACCGUGCUUCCUCCAACCGCAGUUCCAAGCCCGCAACCUGAGAGCUCGGACCGAGCUAACUCUUCUGAUUGGGCACCGAAAUUAUCGUACCAGAAUUGAGCCAUCCGAGACACAGAUUCAGUGGUGGCAGACAAAGAUUACAUGCUGGCCUUCAAUCUGGCUAAGAGCGUGUGUUUGCCCCCUGAUAUGGAUCAUCAUGCCCACUUAACCGAGCUAAAAGCUAUUCGUUCGACCACUAAAUCAAUGGUGCUAGCCAUGCAGAAGAACCAGAUUGCUCAUAAGCGUGUGCUAGAGCUAUGCAAAACAACAAGGCAAGCCUUGGCAGAGGCUAAACAGAAGACGACCAAGCUAAACGAAGCCAAACAGAAAAUGGCCGAGCUUGAAUCUGAAGUCGUACGCCUCACCGGUGUAGUUAACAUAGCCGAAGUGGAGAAGCAAAAAGCUUUGAUCGAGCUGAAAGACUACACCUACGUGAGCUUGCCAGCAUUGAAGAGAAGAAGACGACCGAGAUAACUGACCUUGAGAAGAAGAUUGGUGAUGCAGAAGACCGUGGCUUCAAAGAAGGUGAAGCAACCUACAUUCUGCAGUGCAAAGCCGCCAAGGAUCUAUUUUUUAAGUGCGAGUGGAAGGCAGCAGUGGAACAGCUCGGUCAUGGUCCAGAGACUGAGGUUUUCCUGAACCCUCCAUCGUACUUCAUACCGAGCUGUAUGGCGGAGUAUGCAGCCGCCAUUCAACAAAAAUUCCUUGAAUCUGAGGAUGAUGAUGAAGAGGCAGUGCCUAAUAAUGCCCCGGUCGUUGAUGAUUCUGCCAUCCAGCCAGUUCGGGUGGAGCCACCGAUUGAAGACUUGACAACCGAGCUACCGGCUGAAACCGGGCUCCGAGUUGAACUGGAUGCGGAUCUUGAUGACCUGUUUUCUUGACUUUGUACUUUCUUCUUUGUUUUGCUAUUUUGGAAAGAAGUUGUAACCGGGCUGAGGCCCUCCUUUUGUACUUGAUUUGAAUCUUUAAUGAAAUCUUCUUUUGUUGGAA
This is a non-coding RNA of Camellia sinensis, 3422 nucleotides long. NCBI's taxonomy places the organism in Eukaryota, Viridiplantae, Streptophyta, Magnoliopsida, Ericales, Theaceae. The record is from RefSeq and is a predicted model, not a curated record.